GUUCCAGGGGCCCUCCAGCUUGGAUAUGCCAGAAGAGAAAUCGUUAUCACAAGUGUUUUACCCUCAGAAGGAUUUCUAAGUUAGAAAUCCCCUUCAUGGCACAUUCGGCCCUCAUCACACGGUGCAGUAUCUGCUCAUUUCAUAUCUUCUCAUAAUUCUCUGAAUUCAGUCUGAUUGGGCAGCUCGGGUCGGAGAAUGGAAUAUGUUUCCUCGAGCCAUAUUUUGCUGUAAUCAUGAGCUCAUUAAAGCAGAUCAAAGACCACACACCCAGAUACCUCUUGCCACUUGCUCCCAGAGAGCAUCUGCUCACCCUCUGGACGAGGUCGUUAGAGUUCUAGCGUUGCCGGAGGCUCUCCUUCUACUAGCUCAUGCCCUAGCUAUCUGACUUACCUUCUUGUCCACAAGACAUCCUUAGUGGAACCUAUUUCCAUGAAUCUCCCAAUUUGCUCUUUGAGAGACAGAUGGCUGGUAAAUUGUAAUCACUACUAGA
This is a long non-coding RNA of Sarcophilus harrisii (Tasmanian devil), 490 nucleotides long. RefSeq lists it as uncharacterized. Lineage: Eukaryota; Metazoa; Chordata; Mammalia; Dasyuromorphia; Dasyuridae. The transcript is spliced from 3 exons. The record is from RefSeq and is a predicted model, not a curated record.